UACGAAGGGGGCUAGCGUUGCUCGGAAUUACUGGGCGUAAAGCGCACGUAGGCGGCUCUUUAAGUCGGGGGUGAAAUCCUGGAGCUCAACUCCAGAACUGCCUUCGAUACUGGAGAGCUUGAGUUCGGGAGAGGUGAGUGGAACUGCGAGUGUAGAGGUGAAAUUCGUAGAUAUUCGCAAGAACACCAGUGGCGAAGGCGGCUCACUGGCCCGAUACUGACGCUGAGGCACGAAAGCGUGGGGAGCAAACAGG
Molecule: ribosomal RNA, 253 nt
Filed under: uncultured bacterium
Lineage: Bacteria
Description: partial 16S ribosomal RNA
Rfam family: Bacterial small subunit ribosomal RNA
Source: RNAcentral